UACGUAGGUGGCAAGCGUUGUCCGGAUUUAUUGGGUUUAAAGGGUGCGUAGGCGGCCUUGUAAGUCAGUGGUGAAAUACUCUAGCUUAACUAGAGGGGUGCCAUUGAUACUGCAGGGCUUGAGUACAGACGGGGUAGGCGGAAUUGACGGUGUAGCGGUGAAAUGCAUAGAUAUCGUCAAGAACUCCGAUAGUGAAGACAGCUUACUAGGCUGUAACUGACGCUGAGGCACGAAAGUGUGGGGAUCAAACAGG
This 253-nucleotide ribosomal RNA is filed under the name uncultured bacterium. RNAcentral's name for it is "partial 16S ribosomal RNA". It matches the Rfam family "Bacterial small subunit ribosomal RNA", at positions 524 to 776 of the family's 1533-position model. The record is from RNAcentral.